This is a long non-coding RNA of Harpia harpyja (harpy eagle), 2354 nucleotides long. RefSeq lists it as uncharacterized. NCBI's taxonomy places the organism in Eukaryota, Metazoa, Chordata, Aves, Accipitriformes, Accipitridae. The transcript has 3 exons. The record is from RefSeq and is a predicted model, not a curated record.
UUUACAUUGUUGGGUAAUUUUACUUGGGAAACAUCCUGGCUAUUAGCAGGUACUGAUGGGUAGAAAAUUUGUUGUGAAAAGGACUGAUAGUUACCACAAGCCCUGCGAGGGACCAGUACCACCCACAAAUCAAACAGUCAGGAAUGGAGGUCUGCAGCUAUAUUGGGGUUUGUGUCUAAUGACCAGGCUUUGACAGAGACCUUCUGGAAUAGCAAAGCACUGAUUUCAAGAGUUGGCAAAGAUGUUAGUGCAGAUGGGACUUGAAAUGUCAUGGGUGGAACCUUUCCUACUUUGUUUUUGGAAGUAUACAUGUGUGAUCUGGGUUUGUCCCUCUUUGGGAAUUCUUUCACUUUUAAUUUAAACAACAGCAAGUGAAUUGCUGCCAAAGCGUUCUGGAGCUAUACUGCACAUAGUUACCACAUUUUUAUCUUCCUGAGAAAUACUGCUUUCAUUUCUUCUUUUCUUUUGUUAAAAGACCCAUUUCUUGGGUUAAAGAAAACAGCAUUAAUUUGCAUUGGAUGCUAAACUGAGUUAGUAAAGUGUACCACCAACACUCCUGUUCAGAUCCCUAACACUGUCCUUCUUAUUAUGUACUCCUGGGAUAUGGAGCCAUGUUGACACAUGAUGGUAGAAUUUCUGGCUUAGCAUGCCAUGGUGGUGAAUUUUCUCCCCCAGUGUUUCCUUAUGUCUGCAAGUAUACUGUGGAGAAUAAUAUUCUCGUGUUCCAAAUGUAGAUUGGCCAAGCACCUAAAUUCUUGCAAGAUAGACAAUCCCCAUUCUGAAAGCACAAAGGCAGCAUGCAAUUUCCCUGAAAGAAAGAGUAAAAUAGUCACAGAGAUAUGGACAGCACACAGAGGCCAACUUUUUGUCCAAUGAUCUAACUGGUAGAAAUGUUGAAUCUUUGCUGACAUGGUGAAUUUCCUGUUGCAGCUCAAUAAAUUGCAUUAAUUACCUGAUGGGAAGAAAAGGAAUACUUUGAAGGCAUUCUGUGAAACAACCACUGUCAACAAGAAUUACGACAGGAAUUCUGCUAUCCAUCUGAUCAUAGAUUUUUGCAUUACAAAGUUAUUUUGGUGCUACCUCCAAAAAGCACAUUACAAAUCUGCUGCUGUAUUGGGCUGUGCUGGUUUUGUCUUGCAGCUGGGUUGCUGAUUGGGUAAGUCUGUGACUACAUCCAGUUCCAGAAGAGUCGUUUUUUCUUUUUAAUUGGUACAGCUCACAAUGACUCGCAAUCCACUGUCUUCAAGAUCCACCACCCACAACUACUUUUUGGCCAAAUUUAAGACUGAAAAGAGGGGACCAAAUAGCGGCUGAGUCACUUCUGUUGUGUGCCAACAAGUAGCUCAUUUGCUGAUUGGCCACCUGCCUUUGAUCUGGCUUAUAUCAUACCAGCGAGCUGCUCCAGCUGGCCAGAGAUUGGGGAAUGUGAGCUGUAGUCAAGGAUACCUGCAAAGCACUGGGAGCUGUAGUGAAGGGUCUUUGAAGAGAAGCACAGGGAAAGGCAAAUUAGAGGGAAAGCAAGGGAAAAAUAGAGGCAAGGAGCCAAUUUCUGAUCUCAGCAUCACUGAUGUCACCAAUGAGAAUGUGGUCCACAGAGUGCUGGGGAAAGAAGAAAAGAAACAGGUCAGAGAGAAGGGUGACAGACAAGCAGAGGUGACAGAGAGGGGAUAAUUAAUCAUGUCUCAACUGUAAUCUUAAUGACUACUCUGCAUUAACAUUUGUAAUGCCUCUUACUCAGCCAAGAGCACAAAAUUAAUAAAAUCUUUCCAAGAGACUGCUUUGUCUGUCAUAGCAGGUCCAGCAGUGAUUUUUACUGGUGGCACACUCAUUCUGCAGAUCCAUCUGAAGAGCAACAUGCACAGAUCUAAUGAAGAGGAAAAGGUUUAAAUCUCCUCAUGUUUCAGCAGCUGGAGCUGAGUUACGGUCCAUGUCUUCCUGGUAUAACUUGUCUAAGAACUUCUCCAAGUACAGCUGAAACCAGGACAAUUAGGGACAGAAAUUUGCACUAAGCUGCUAGUAUAAACUCCAGUGUGCCAUACAUGCAGCCAGUUAGCUUCUUACCAAGACAGCUUUUCUAAUGGUCCACUGAUGAAGGAUCUCUCCACAGCCAUCCUCCUUGGAAGAGAGAUCUGCUCCUUGUUGUAUGCUCACUAGGUAAUAGGAGUGAAACCCAGGAUAUGAUUAUAAAGGUUCCUUCCCUUCAAGCUUUGAUGAGCUUUUAAUUAUCAUGUCUUAAACAAGAAGUCUCUUCAUUGUCAAGAGAGCAUUCUCCAUUUUACUGGGAGAAUGUGUCACGGGAUGAUCAUAUGCAGCACACCUCCUUGCUUCCCUUUCAGCAGUUAAUCCUCUCCUGU